GACUCUUUCGAGGCCCCGUAAUUGGAAUGAGUACACUUUAAACCCUUUAACGAGGAUCUAUUGGAGGGCAAGUCUGGUGCCAGCAGCCGCGGUAAUUCCAGCUCCAAUAGCGUAUAUUAAAGUUGUUGCAGUUAAAAAGCUCGUAGUUGGAUCUCGGGUCCAGGCUGGCGGUCCGGCGCAUGCCGGUUACUGCUUGUCCUGACCUACCUCCCGGUCGCGCCCUUGGUGCUCUUGAUUGAGUGUCUCGGGUCGCCGGAACGUUUACUUUGAAAAAAUUAGAGUGUUCAAAGCAGGCAAUUCGCCUGAAUAAUGGUGCAUGGAAUAAUGGAAUAGGACCUCGGUUCUAUUUUGCUGGUUUUCGGAGCUCGAGGUAAUGAUUAAGAGGGACUGACGGGGGCAUUCGUAUUACGGUGUUAGAGGUGAAAUUCUUGGAUCGCCGUAAGACGAACCGCUGCGAAAGCGUUUGCCAAGAAUGUUUUCAUUAGUCAAGAACGAAAGUCAGAGGUUCGAAGACGAUCAGAUACCGUCGUAGUUCUGACCAUAAACGAUGCCAACUAGCGAUCCGCCGGAGUUGCUUCAAUGACUCGGCGGGCAGCCCCCGGGAAACCAAAGUUUUUGGGUUCCGGGGGAAGUAUGGUUGCAAAGCUGAAA
This 651-nucleotide ribosomal RNA is filed under the name Xenostrobus securis. RNAcentral's name for it is "SSU rRNA". It matches the Rfam family "Eukaryotic small subunit ribosomal RNA", at positions 489 to 1142 of the family's 1831-position model. The record is from RNAcentral. Lineage: Eukaryota; Metazoa; Mollusca; Bivalvia; Mytilida; Modiolidae.